UACGUAGGUGGCAAGCGUUGUCCGGAUUUACUGGGCGUAAAGAGCGCGCAGGCGGUCGAUUUAGUCGCGUGUGAAAGCCCCCGGCUCAACUGGGGAGGGUCACGCGAUACUGAUCGACUCGAAGGCAGGAGAGGGUAGUGGAAUUUCCGGUGUAGCGGUGAAAUGCGUAGAGAUCGGAAGGAACACCAGUGGCGAAGGCGGCUACCUGGACAGAUACUGACGCUGAGGCGCGAGAGCGUGGGGAGCAAACAGG
Molecule: ribosomal RNA, 253 nt
Filed under: uncultured bacterium
Lineage: Bacteria
Description: partial 16S ribosomal RNA
Rfam family: Bacterial small subunit ribosomal RNA
Source: RNAcentral